Molecule: long non-coding RNA, 4306 nt
Filed under: Cottoperca gobio
Lineage: Eukaryota; Metazoa; Chordata; Actinopteri; Perciformes; Bovichtidae
Description: lncRNA (ENSCGOG00000009021.1)
Source: RNAcentral
AUGGCGACUGAAAACGCUGAGACCAACGCGGGGAAUGAUGAGGAGACCGUUCCCCCUUCCGAGACAAACGAGCACGACUAUGCCCACGCCUCCGCGGCCGCUAACUUAAGUUCCAUGGAGGCGACCUCAUCCUCAGGUACACCGGCGGCUGACGGUGGAGUCACCCCACAGGAAAGCUUUACAACGGUGGCUGAACCCGAGUGUAGUUUGCCGGGGCAGCCCACCCUGCAGGUGGAGCUUCCCGAACCUGUCGUGGGUGCGGAGGUGGACUGCCCCGGUGGAAAUGAUGUGGAGGAUUCUCCUCCGCCAGAGGCCGAGGAGGACCCACAGAAGAUAGAAGCUUCUGAACUGGGUACUACUGUCCCUCCAGCUGUGCGAGGUGGCCGCCGGCGUCCCAAGCGGCCGGAGGACAAGAACUGCUCCGCCUGCAAGUCUGAGUUUGAGCGGCAGGGCCGUAGCUUCAACAGGAGAGCGGUGUACACCUUCACCACCCCGGAGACGGUGCAGUGGACCUUCCCGGACGCCUCCGUGCACGACAAGUCCUUCCUAUGUGAGACCUGCGCUCAGGUCAUCAGGAGCAGAUGCAAACGCAGGCAGAGCGGAAAGAGGACCCUGUGGGUGAAACCGCCGCAGACAAAACAGUCAGAGGUGAGAGACAAGAAGAAGAAAGGCCGCAGGAUGGGGAAGAAGAGCAAAGCAGCACUGCUGGUGAGCAAGUCCUGCUACAAGGCUGCUUUCAAAAUGUUGUGGUCAGCCAAAGGUGCACGGAAGCCCAUGAUGGAGUUCUGGAGCAAGCAGCUGAAAGAGGAGAUGAAGGCGCUGACGCGGCAGACGGACAAUCCAUUCCAUCAGAAGGUGUCGAGCAGGAAGCCGCUGUCGUCCUUCCCAUGGCGGCGCUGUCUGAACUGGGCCCAGGACAAGGCUCCACUCGUCACCUCCUGCCUCACCUCGCUGUUCCCCGACAUCAACACUCUCUCAAAGAGCAGCAACCAGAUGUCAGAGGAACAGGCCCAGACGCUGCUGGAGCGCAGGACCGUGGUGGCGCUCUCCAUCCCGCUCUUCACCAGGAACAUCUGGAAGAAUAAUUUCCUGCAGGCCGCUCUGGGGGCAGAGCUCCGCCUGCAGGGCUGCUCUGGCUCUGCUCUCGACGCUCUCAACACCAUGGGACUAUGUCAGAACAAAGACACCGUCAGGUUACUGCUGCACAGACUCCGGAACGGCAAGAAGGCGCCAACACAGAACGGACGACAGAGGAUGAAGAUGAAACUAGAGCAGCUGAAAGGAGAACAGAUGACAGACGCGGAGGAGGAGGAGGAUAUUGAGGAGGAGGAGGAGGAGGAGGAAGAAGAGGAUGAAGAGGAUGAGGAGGAGGAGGAGGAGGUAGAAGAAGAAGAGGAAGAUGAUGAUGAUGACGAGGAAGAGGAGGAGGAAAUGGAGAUGGCGGUAGAGGAGGUGGAAGUGGAAGAAGUGCCGGUGGGAGUGGAAGAGGAGGAAGAUCAAGCCGUGGAGGAAAAGGCAGAGAUAGAAAAGAAGAGGAGGAAGAAGAAGGCGAAGAAGCUGAGGAAGGAGGAGAAGAGGAAGGAGAGAGGGAAGCGUAAAGUAAAGGAGAGGGAGGGGGAGGAGGAUGAUGAAGGGUCGGAGCAGAAGAAGAGGCGGGUUGUGGUGGUGAGGCUCGGCCUCCUGAAGGGACACUCAGAAGUCGGACGAUCCGACCUAUCGGCUCCCUAAGACUGUAGGCUCCGCCCAUGAACUAAAUAACCCCAACCUCCAAUCAGAGAGCAGUACAGACGUCCCGCCCUCUUCUCUGGGAGGUGUUGAAAAGGGAUUCUGGGAAUUGUAGUAGGUCAGUAACUGGAGGGAAACUAAUGACAGCUUUACUUUAUAUUGUAACUUUGAGCAGAAAUGAGUUGAUUUGAUCUCAGAAAAGCCUCAAACACAAAACUGCUCCCCUGAAACUGAGUCUAACAGUAACAUGGCCACAGCUGAUUGAUCACUCGAUUAUCUGCAUCGUUUUAACCCCUGAUGGUCGUGUGUCUCAGGAUAACUGGAUCUCAAAAACAACCAACUUCCUCUUUUGUUACACCUUCCAUGUAUGAUGGUAGCGGUUUCAAAAACACAUUUUGGUAACGUUUUGUUUUAUACGUCCCAUCAUAUCCUAGUAAUUUACUAGAAAGUAACUGAUUUCUGGACAGAACUACGCAAUUUGGUACUAAAUGUGAGUACUAGGUCCAAGGGGCUAAUGUCAUAAUAAUUUGGAAAAAGGCACGUUACAAGAAGAAUUUAAUUUCAGAAGAAGAAGCCUCACUGUCUUUAUCAGUUUAAUCCGCAGAUUAUUUUCUAGAUUAAUCGAUCUAUAAAAUGUCAGAAAAUCUUAAAUAAAUCCAUCCCGUUAUAUUUUGACGUUUCGAUUCUUUUAAGACGUUAGCCGUUCUUCAACAGUUACGAGUACGAGGCUAACUUUCUUCUUGAAAUGAUUAUUGAAUAUGUUUACUCUCAGAAUAUUUCCGUAUAGUUAGUACCAAAUUGCCGGUGGUAUUUUUCAACUGAGGGUGAAGACUAGUUCAUGUGGAAAGUAUAAGAGGGAAGAAAAAGAGUUUCAGGGAGGCAGAGCGACCCCAAACAUGGCUUGAAAAAAAAAGCCACCAAUAAAUGUGUAAAUGUUAAAUUAGCUGACAGGACGGUUACAGACCUGCAGCACAAGUCUGUUUCAAUAUGUCCAUCCAGCUGCUGGAUGAUGGAAGUAACAGGCGGGGAAAUGUGUUUUAAUCCUGUUUGGGGUUAAAAUUCAUUAUUAAAAGUCACUGCAGCUCAGAGCAGGAACAGAACAUGGUUUGAUUUUCAUCUGAACUGUGGAUGUCUGAAGCUGUUGAGGAUGUUUCUGAAGCUUUGCGUUUGUUAAAAGGUUUCUGUGAUCCCAGUUGAUGCACAUCUGAGAAAAGGACCUGGAAUUUAUCGCUUUGUUUUUCUUUCUGUUCGUUGGCUGUAGUGAAUCCAACGCUUCAGGAUGUUUUGUUUGAAGCAUGCCGAGGCCUUUAUGCCGUGUUCACGUCAUGCUCACAUUAUCGAUGGUUACAGAGGAAGGCUGCAACUAAAGAUUAUUGUAAUCACUGAUUAAUCUGCAGUUUUCUAGAUUCAUCGAUUUAUCAAAAUGUACAUCCCAUUUUCUCAAAGUCCAAGGGGAAGUCUUCAAAUGUCUUGUUUUGUCAGUCCAAAACCCAAAGAUCUUCACUUUAAUGUUAAAAAAGAACAGAAAAGCAGAAAAUCACCAUAUUUGAGAGGCUGAAAACUAAAUCUUCGGUCAUUUCGGCACGAGAAAUUAGUUUAACGAUUAAUCGAUUCUCAAAGAAGUUGAAUCAUGGAAGCUCUAUAUUACAGUUGGUCACGUGAGGGUUAAACAUACUGUCCAUUCACAAUAUCGCACUAUUAAUAUUAAAUAACCGUUACAAAUGACUACAGACAGGCGUCCAUACAUGUUCUCAGAUUAUUAUGGGCCUAUUAUAUCAGAGCUUUCAUAAUUACGCUUUGGAUGUUCACGUGGAAACAGCUGGUAACGAACUCCAACAUGAAAUGAACGCAGCAUUAGAGUCGCGUUAAGAAAACAAAGAUAUUCAUUUUGUCAAAAAUCAGAUUGAAUUAUUUUUUUUAGAAUUCAGACACUUUUUUUUUUGUGACACUUUAUUUCAUAAUCUGUAAUUUCCUAAUAAUUCUACAGAAAGAACUAUUGUGGGACUAAUUAUCGUGACAAGAGACACGGUGACAAGAGACACGGUGACAAGAGACACGGUGGAACUGGUUCAAAUUCUGCCUAAAUUAGUUUAGUUUAGCAUUUUACUGCACAGCAGGUCAGCUGAACAUGGAAGUGAAAUGUGUCGUUUGGAAAACCACUUCCCUAUUAUUAGUAGCAGAUUACAUAACUAUUUCCAUGACAUUAGGAAAUGAAGGACCCAUAAAAUAAAGUGUUAAAAAGGUUGUUUUCUGUGGUGUAAUAAUUCCACCAUGAACUUUUCUCUCCUGGUCAGAAAACGAGUAAAUGAAAUGAAAUGUUCUGAACCAGGAGACGCUGUAAUAUAGUUUGAUUUUUAACAAGGGAUUUGUUCUUUGAGUUCCUCGAAACUUCUGCAGAAAAUGUUUUUAUUUUUUAUGUUCGAGUCGAGGAGGAGGACAGAUGUGUUUUCUGACUGUCGGAUCUGAUGCAGAACUUCCUGUUAAAGUUUGCCAAUAAAAAUGUUUAAGGCUUCACUUUGUCUCGUUCUUCCUGCCAGUGACUCAGUUGUUGCUGCAGAUUUGGGGCUUUCAAAAUUAAUCC